RNAcentral lists this ribosomal RNA (511 nucleotides) under uncultured bacterium. Its description in RNAcentral is "partial 16S ribosomal RNA". It matches the Rfam family "Bacterial small subunit ribosomal RNA", at positions 28 to 506 of the family's 1533-position model. The record is from RNAcentral.
GAUGAACGCUGGCGGCGUGCCUAAUACAUGCAAGUCGAACGAAACUUCUUUAUCACCGAGUGCUUGCACUCACCGAUAAAGAGUUGAGUGGCGAACGGGUGAGUAACACGUGGGCAACCUGCCCAAAAGAGGGGGAUAACACUUGGAAACAGGUGCUAAUACCGCAUAACCAUAGUUACCGCAUGGUAACUAUGUAAAAGGUGGCUAUACUACCGCUUUUGGAUGGGCCCGCGGCGCAUUAGCUAGUUGGUAGGGUAAAGGCUUACCAAGGCAAUGAUGCGUAGCCGAAUUGAGAGGUUGAUCGGCCACAUUGGGACUGAGACACGGCCCAAACUCCUACGGGAGGCAGCAGUAGGGAAUCUUCCACAAUGGGCGAAAGCCUGAUGGAGCAACGCCGCGUGGGUGAAGAAGGUCUUCGGAUCGUAAAACCCUGUUGUUAGAGAAGAAAGUGCGUGAGAGUAACUGUUCACGUUUCGACGGUAUCUAACCAGAAAGCCACUGCUAACUACGU